RNAcentral lists this long non-coding RNA (751 nucleotides) under Cricetulus griseus (Chinese hamster). RNAcentral's name for it is "lncRNA (ENSCGRG00015038960.1)". The record is from RNAcentral. Lineage: Eukaryota; Metazoa; Chordata; Mammalia; Rodentia; Cricetidae.
UGAUAAUCUCACAGGGAGUGUCGAGAUUAGGGGGUGUGGCUUUGUUGGAGGAAGUGUGUCACUGUGGCUUUGAGGUUUCCUAAACUCAGGAUACCUCCCAUUGUCUCAGUCGACUUCCUGUGGCCUGCAUAUCAAGAUGUAGCCAGCACCAUGUCUGCCUGCACACCACCAUGCUCCCCACCAUGAUGAUAAUGGACUGAACCUCCAAAACUCAAUUUGACAGCAUGGAGGAGCCCAGAGUGGAUAGGACUGAACAUGUCAUUGAGCACCAGCGGCUUUGAUACCAUGGGGACGGUGGCAUCCAAUAAAGCAGCUGUGGUUGGUGAGAAAGGUGGUACUUGGUGGCACAAGAUAGAGACGUCCUUGGCUGAAACGGAUUCAACCUAGAGGUGCAAACAGCAGAAAAUGGCAUGCCGUGGUUGAUGUGGAAAAAAGGAUGUUGUGGUUUGAAUAAAAAAUGGUCCCCAUAGGCACAUGUCUUUAAAUGCUUACUCACCAGGAAAUGACACUGUUUGAAAAGGACUAGAAGGCAUGUCCUUGUCAGAGGAAGUGUUGUCACUGAAGGAGUGCUUGGAGGUCUUGAAAGUCCCCGCCUGGCCCAGUGUCUCUCUCUCCCUCUGCUGCCUGCGCAUCGGGAUGUCAAGUCUGAUCUACUUCCCCAGUGCCAAGUGUGCCACCAUGCUCCCUGUCAUGUCAAUGCACUACUACUCUGAAUCUGUGAGCAAUACCCUGAUUAAAUGCUUUCUUUUAU